AUUGAACGCUGGCGGUAUGCCUUACACAUGCAAGUCGAACGGCAGCACGGGAGCAAUCCUGGUGGCGAGUGGCGAACGGGUGAGUAAUAUAUCGGAACGUGCCCGGUCGUGGGGGAUAACGUAGCGAAAGCUACGCUAAUACCGCAUACGAUCUACGGAUGAAAGCGGGGGAUCGCAAGACCUCGCGCGAUUGGAGCGGCCGAUAUCAGAUUAGGUAGUUGGUGAGGUAAAGGCUCACCAAGCCGACGAUCUGUAGCUGGUCUGAGAGGACGACCAGCCACACUGGGACUGAGACACGGCCCAGACUCCUACGGGAGGCAGCAGUGGGGAAUUUUGGACAAUGGGCGCAAGCCUGAUCCAGCAAUGCCGCGUGCAGGAAGAAGGCCUCGGUUGU
Molecule: ribosomal RNA, 394 nt
Filed under: uncultured bacterium
Lineage: Bacteria
Description: bacterial SSU rRNA
Rfam family: Bacterial small subunit ribosomal RNA
Source: RNAcentral